UUUUUACAAUUGUAGGUUGCUUUGGCGUUAGCAAGUGUUUUCCAACUUUGUGAAACCUGCACGACACAUAAAAAUUGCUCUACAACGCAGGCAUGUUUGGGACCGGCAAACCAAAAAGAAUGUUUUGAGUGUCAUUGCAAUAACACUAGUGAAUGCGAGCUCAGUGAUGAUAGUAAAAGCGUCCGAUGCAACUGUGCAAACUCCGGAGGCUAUACGGGUAUUAGCUGCGACUGUCCG
Molecule: long non-coding RNA, 237 nt
Organism: Mercenaria mercenaria
Lineage: Eukaryota; Metazoa; Mollusca; Bivalvia; Venerida; Veneridae
Exons: 3
Source: RefSeq, a predicted model, not a curated record